GUAGCGAAACCACAGCGGCGCUCAGUUUUUCUCUCUGUUUCGAGCUAAUCACAUUCUUAUCUCCUUACGGCCGAUACUGAUGGCUUCAGUUCCUCUCAACAUGUUUCUUGUUUAUAGUUGUUUUUGUUCAUUCCGUAGAUGAAUAGGGUGGUGGUUGUGGUUGUUGUUGCAGUGAUUAUAAAAAUUCCUCGUUCUGAAUGCUAUAGCCAUGGCAUGACAGACACCUUACACCCAUAGAAUAUGAGCAACA
RNAcentral lists this long non-coding RNA (250 nucleotides) under Rosa chinensis. RNAcentral describes it as "sRNA RchiOBHm_Chr6g0310041". The stretch from base 163 to 250 matches the Rfam family "Small nucleolar RNA snoR8a". The record is from RNAcentral. Lineage: Eukaryota; Viridiplantae; Streptophyta; Magnoliopsida; Rosales; Rosaceae.